Molecule: ribosomal RNA, 203 nt
Filed under: uncultured bacterium
Lineage: Bacteria
Description: partial 16S ribosomal RNA
Rfam family: Bacterial small subunit ribosomal RNA
Source: RNAcentral
ACGCUCGACACCUACGUGGAGGCAGCAGUUGGGAAUAUUGGACAAGUGGAGGGAACUCUGAUCCAGUGACGCCGCGUGAAGGAAGAAGGUCUUCGGAUUGUAAACUUAUUUUAUCAGGGAAGAAAGAAAUGACAGUACCUGAAGAAGAAGGACCGGCUAACCACGUGCCAGCAGCCGCGGUAAUCUGAGCGGGCUGGCAAGGC